GACGAACGCUGGCGGCGUGCUUAACACAUGCAAGUCGAGCGGUAAGGCCCUUUCGGGGGUACACGAGCGGCGAACGGGUGAGUAACACGUGGGUGACCUGCCUUUAGCUCUGGGAUAAGCCUGGGAAACUGGGUCUAAUACCGGACAUGACCCUAUGGCGCAUGUUGUGGGGUGGAAAGCCUUGUGCGGCUAGGGAUGGGCCCGCGGCCUAUCAGCUUGUUGGUGGGGUGAUGGCCUACCAAGGCGACGACGGGUAGCCGGCCUGAGAGGGCGACCGGCCACACUGGGACUGAGACACGGCCCAGACUCCUACGGGAGGCAGCAGUGGGGAAUCUUGCGCAAUGGGCGAAAGCCUGACGCAGCGACGCCGCGUGAGGGAUGACGGCCU
This 388-nucleotide ribosomal RNA is filed under the name uncultured bacterium. RNAcentral's name for it is "bacterial SSU rRNA". It matches the Rfam family "Bacterial small subunit ribosomal RNA", at positions 28 to 417 of the family's 1533-position model. The record is from RNAcentral.